GCCCCUUAUGACCUGGGCUACACACGUGCUACAAUGGUUGGUACAACGAGUUGCGAGUCGGUGACGGCGAGCUAAAUCUCUUAAAGCCAAUCUCAGUUCGGAUUGUAGGCUGCAACUCGCCUACAUGAAGUCGGAAUCGCUAGUAAUCGCGGAUCAGCACGCCCGCGGUCGAAUACGGUUCCGGGCCUU
This 189-nucleotide ribosomal RNA is filed under the name uncultured Streptococcus sp. RNAcentral's name for it is "partial 16S ribosomal RNA". It matches the Rfam family "Bacterial small subunit ribosomal RNA", at positions 1197 to 1382 of the family's 1533-position model. The record is from RNAcentral. Lineage: Bacteria; Bacillati; Bacillota; Bacilli; Lactobacillales; Streptococcaceae.